UGGGGAAUAUUGGACAAUGGGCGCAAGCCUGAUCCAGCAAUGCCGCGUGUGUGAAGAAGGCCUUCGGGUUGUAAAGCACUUUUAUCGGGAACGAAAUCGGUUCGGCCAAUACCCGGAUCGUCUGACGGUACCCGAGGAAUAAGCACCGGCUAACUCCGUGCCAGCAGCCGCGGUAAUACGGAGGGUGCAAGCGUUAAUCGGAAUUACUGGGCGUAAAGCGUGCGUAGGCGGUUUGUUAAGUCUGCUGUGAAAGCCCCGGGCUCAACCUGGGAAUGGCAGUGGAUACUGGCAAGCUGGAGUGUGUCAGAGGAUGGCGGAAUUCCCGGUGUAGCGGUGAAAUGCGUAGAGAUCGGGAGGAACAUCAGUGGCGAAGGCGGCCAUCUGGGACAACACUGACGCUGAGGCACGAAAGCGUGGGGAGCAAACA
This 427-nucleotide ribosomal RNA is filed under the name uncultured Luteibacter sp. RNAcentral describes it as "bacterial SSU rRNA". It matches the Rfam family "Bacterial small subunit ribosomal RNA", at positions 355 to 774 of the family's 1533-position model. The record is from RNAcentral. Lineage: Bacteria; Pseudomonadati; Pseudomonadota; Gammaproteobacteria; Lysobacterales; Rhodanobacteraceae.